RNAcentral lists this transfer RNA (81 nucleotides) under Staphylococcus aureus. RNAcentral describes it as "tRNA-Tyr". It matches the Rfam family "tRNA". Rfam says of the family: Transfer RNA (tRNA) molecules are approximately 80 nucleotides in length. Their secondary structure includes four short double-helical elements and three loops (D, anti-codon, and T loops). Further hydrogen bonds mediate the characteristic L-shaped molecular structure. tRNAs have two regions of fundamental functional importance: the anti-codon, which is responsible for specific mRNA codon recognition, and the 3' end, to which the tRNAs corresponding amino acid is attached (by aminoacyl-tRNA synthetases). tRNAs cope with the degeneracy of the genetic code in two manners: having more than one tRNA (with a specific anti-codon) for a particular amino acid; and 'wobble' base-pairing, i.e. permitting non-standard base-pairing at the 3rd anti-codon position. Lineage: Bacteria; Bacillati; Bacillota; Bacilli; Caryophanales; Staphylococcaceae. The record is from RNAcentral.
GGAGGGGUAGCGAAGUGGCUAAACGCGGCGGACUGUAAAUCCGCUCCUUCGGAUUCGGCAGUUCGAAUCUGCCCCCCUCCA